This 163-nucleotide unclassified non-coding RNA is filed under the name uncultured Talaromyces. RNAcentral's name for it is "sequence contains ITS2". Lineage: Eukaryota; Fungi; Ascomycota; Eurotiomycetes; Eurotiales; Trichocomaceae. The record is from RNAcentral.
CUGCCCUCAAGCGCGGCUUGUGUGUUGGGCGUGGUCCCCCUAAUUGCGGGGGGACCUGCCCGAAAGGCAGCGGCGACGUUCCGCCCAGGUCCUCGAGCGUAUGGGGCUUUGUCACCCGCUCGGGACGGACCUGCGGGGCGUUGGUCAUCCACUAUUCUUUUAC